RNAcentral lists this long non-coding RNA (263 nucleotides) under Elaeis guineensis (African oil palm). RNAcentral's name for it is "long non-coding RNA (EGUI_LNC018665)". Lineage: Eukaryota; Viridiplantae; Streptophyta; Magnoliopsida; Arecales; Arecaceae. The record is from RNAcentral.
CAUUGUCCCAAAGAGAGGAGAGAAAUCGAUCAAGAGGAUAGAGAGGGAUGAGAUAUGAUUGGAAAUGAAGAGGAGAAGAGGGUUUCGGAUUGAUUGUCAUGGAUUUUGCAAGUUAGGGCUUGAGAUUAUGAUGAAGAGAAAGAGGGUAUGUCGAGAGAGAGAGUUUGCUCUAGGAUUUAAGAUGGAGAUCCAAGAUUUUGGGCAGUUAACAGGAUGGAUUUGAGGGAUUGUGGUCGGUGGAGAGUUUAGAGAAGGAUUUCGGU